AGGGCAGCGUCCACGUGAGACCUGGUCCACGACAGAACCGGUGGUCUCACAUGGACGCUGCCCU
This is a microRNA precursor of Bos indicus x Bos taurus (hybrid cattle), 64 nucleotides long. The record is from Ensembl. Lineage: Eukaryota; Metazoa; Chordata; Mammalia; Artiodactyla; Bovidae.